This 502-nucleotide ribosomal RNA is filed under the name uncultured bacterium. Its description in RNAcentral is "bacterial SSU rRNA". It matches the Rfam family "Bacterial small subunit ribosomal RNA", at positions 29 to 525 of the family's 1533-position model. The record is from RNAcentral.
AGCGAACGUUUGCGGCGGGCUUAACACAUGCAAGUCGAACGAGAAUCCCUUCGGGGAGGAAAGUGGCGCACGGGUGCGUAACACGUGGAUAACCAACCCAUUGGUUUGGGACAACACCGGGAAACUGGUGCUAAUACCAGAUGUGUCGCAGCUGUCUUCAGGCGGUUGCGAGAAAGGCCCGCAAGGGUCGCCAACGGACGGGUCCGCGUCCCAUCAGCUAGUUGGUGAGGUAAUGGCUCACCAAGGCAAAGACGGGUAGCUGGUCUGAGAGGAUGAUCAGCCACACUGGAACUGAGACACGGUCCAGACUCCUACGGGAGGCAGCAGUGGGGAAUAUUGCGCAAUGGGCGAAAGCCUGACGCAGCCACGCCGCGUGAGCGAUGAAGGUCUUCGGAUCGUAAAGCUCUGUGGGGGGGANAAGAAGAAAGCCGGUGAAGAGCCGGCCCUGACGGUAUCCCCUUAGCAAGCACCGGCUAACUCCGUGCCAGCAGCCGCGGUAAAG